CUCAUUUCUUCACACCAAGAGCUCUCCUCUCCUCUGCAUUUGUGAAAUUUCCAAGUGUAGACCUAGCUUCAAGGAGCAACCCGAGACUUCUAGGAAAGCGUACCUUUGAGACAACAAGCAUGCGUGUGAUCAGUCGAGAUGCGGCCAUGCACCUGCUUGAUGUGGACGACGGCAAGGCUCGAGAUAUCGACCGCGCGACCGAUGGUUCAGCUAUGGGACUAGCGAGAGUAGAGGAUGCGAGACGAUAUGAUGCGAGCGUUGGAGGCCUUGGAGGGCACGCGGCCUAUGAGUCGGGUAUUGAGUGGGAUAAUUGAGUCUGUACUGGGGGUGAGGUCGAGUGUUGUUUUAGGGCUCGAUACCUUCUUAAAGCCAUCGUGUAUGUGGAUGAGCUUAAGAAAGGUUGAAAGCACUAGUUUCCUUCAUUGAGUCCUGAUGUAAUAAAGAAAAAGCCUUGGUCUAUUUAAUAAAAUAAAGUUUA
This is a long non-coding RNA of Lotus japonicus, 478 nucleotides long. RefSeq lists it as uncharacterized. Lineage: Eukaryota; Viridiplantae; Streptophyta; Magnoliopsida; Fabales; Fabaceae. The transcript is spliced from 3 exons. The record is from RefSeq and is a predicted model, not a curated record.